Camellia sinensis is the source of this 766-nucleotide non-coding RNA. The record is from RefSeq and is a predicted model, not a curated record. Lineage: Eukaryota; Viridiplantae; Streptophyta; Magnoliopsida; Ericales; Theaceae.
CAUCAUCUUUCUUUAUUCUCCAUGAUCCAUUGUCUUCCACUUUGUCUCCUACCAUAUCCUCUAUUAAGUUUUCCUCCAUUGGCCAUACAAAGAAGAUCAAAUGGUUGGAGAACGAGGAGAUCAGAUUGUUGAAACUAGAGAGAGACUGAUUAAGAAAGAGAUAGAGAGAAAGAGAGAAGUCUUGUUUGAUUGAAAAAUUGGCCAAAACUUCCAUUCUUGAAGCUAUACACUGUUAUAGCUCAUUCUUCAUUACCAAAAUGAUCCAAAAAUUCAUUAUAAUUAGAUUAUAGAGUCUUGAUCAAAGAGAGAGUGAUUGUGGUUGAAAGUAAGAAAAUCAGAGAGCUAAUUAGUUUCCCCUACACAGACUGUUAAACAAUCCGAGUCACCAUUCUAGCAAUAAUCUGAAGUUUUCAAAUUGAGGAUUAAGAACAUAAUUCACAACCUUGAGGGUGACCAAAAGGAAGUUUGGAAAUCAAGAAGUUUAUCAUUUCCUUGAAAGCAAAAAAGGUUUUUGCCAAGCCUUGUUGGCCAGUCAACUAAGUUUUUGGUCGGCCGACCAAUUUCUUUUAGACAAAAUCAUGUAGUCUUUCGUUGACGAGCAGAGAAGUUUCCGGUGGUCUCUAAAGCACAUGAAGUUUCUAUUUUUAUUUUAAUUUGAUAGAUUUGUGAGGUUUUAUUUUGUUGUAAUAUUUUCUUCCUGUCCUCCCUUAUUCGGAUAUAUAAUUAUUCAAAGUGUUGUAAUAACUCACCCCGCUUCUUUCUAUCC